GGAUGUGAGGGUGAUCUGGCUGUGACAUCUGUCACCUCAUUGAUUGCCAAGGUUGAUUCAGCUGAUCUGGCUGGCUAGGUGGGGGCCCCCUUCCUCCCUCAAUGCUCCAUGUGUAUCCCUCCCGAAGCUGCUCAUUCAGUCAAAGAGGAUGAUCACCCCCCACAUCAGUCAAGGGUAUAUGAGUACCUGCACCCCCCUGCUAUAAUCUCCAAACAAACUCCCAAGGUCUAUUUGCACGAUAUGCCCCUGCUUAGGCUGUUUGGCUUGGGCCAGCAUAAAGCAGGCAACUCUUUUUUUAAAAAAAUAAUUUAUUUAUUUUUUGAGAAA
Molecule: small nuclear RNA, 327 nt
Filed under: Octodon degus (degu)
Lineage: Eukaryota; Metazoa; Chordata; Mammalia; Rodentia; Octodontidae
Description: 7SK RNA (ENSODEG00000023903.1)
Rfam family: 7SK RNA
About the family: 7SK was discovered as an abundant small nuclear RNA in the mid-70s but a possible function has only recently been suggested. Two independent studies have found that 7SK RNA binds the CDK9/cyclin T complex (known as elongation factor P-TEFb).
Source: RNAcentral